RNAcentral lists this ribosomal RNA (509 nucleotides) under Cylindrothecus sp. ARC5135. Its description in RNAcentral is "SSU rRNA". It matches the Rfam family "Eukaryotic small subunit ribosomal RNA", at positions 91 to 581 of the family's 1831-position model. The record is from RNAcentral. Lineage: Eukaryota; Metazoa; Arthropoda; Insecta; Coleoptera; Curculionidae.
GAAAGGCUCAUUAAAUCAGUUAUGGUUCCUUAGAUCGUACCCACAAUUACUUGGAUAACUGUGGUAAUUCUAGAGCUAAUACAUGCAAAUAGAGCUCCGACCGGAGACGGAAGGAGUGCUUUUAUUAGAUCAAAACCAAUCGGUGGCGGGCUCGUCAUCGUACAACUUGGUGACUCUGAAUAACUUUACGCUGAUCGCACGGUCAUCGCACCGGCGACGCAUCUUUCAAAUGUCUGCCUUAUCAACUGUCGAUGGUAGGUUCUGCGCCUACCAUGGUUGUAACGGGUAACGGGGAAUCAGGGUUCGAUUCCGGAGAGGGAGCCUGAGAAACGGCUACCACAUCCAAGGAAGGCAGCAGGCGCGCAAAUUACCCACUCCCGGCACGGGGAGGUAGUGACGAAAAAUAACGAUACGGGACUCAUCCGAGGCCCCGUAAUCGGAAUGAGAACACUCUAAACCCUUUAACGAGGAUCAAUUGGAGGGCAAGUCUGGUGCCAGCAGCCGCGGUA